Molecule: ribosomal RNA, 253 nt
Filed under: uncultured bacterium
Lineage: Bacteria
Description: partial 16S ribosomal RNA
Rfam family: Bacterial small subunit ribosomal RNA
Source: RNAcentral
UACGUAGGGUGCGAGCGUUGUCCGGAUUUAUUGGGCGUAAAGAGCUCGUAGGCGGUUUGUCGCGUCGGCCGUGAAAUCUCCACGCUUAACGUGGAGCGUGCGGUCGAUACGGGCAGACUUGAGUUCGGUAGGGGAGACUGGAAUUCCUGGUGUAGCGGUGAAAUGCGCAGAUAUCAGGAGGAACACCGAUGGCGAAGGCAGCCAUCUGGACCGACACUGACGCUGAGGCGCGAAAGCGUGGGGAGCAAACAGG